This 241-nucleotide long non-coding RNA is filed under the name Ananas comosus (pineapple). Its description in RNAcentral is "long non-coding RNA (ACOM_LNC003543)". Lineage: Eukaryota; Viridiplantae; Streptophyta; Magnoliopsida; Poales; Bromeliaceae. The record is from RNAcentral.
ACUAUGGAAGAUAGUUCUCACCCCACUCUAUUUCCAGUGGUAGGUUCAGGGCUGCAGAGGGAGGACCGCGGCAAGGGCGUCGCGCCCGACCAGUGAGACCGUGGUAGUAUAGUAGCUUUUCCUUUUGCAUUAGUCACCUAUAUAUAGAGAGAGAUUUAUUGUAGGUGAGGAUUUGGAGAGCUAUGUAUUUUGGAUGAAAAAUGAUGUAAAGAAUGCAACUAUUGUAAUAGUUAGUAAAGUA